CUGCACGAUGUCUCCCGGGCUCUUCUGAUUAACCCUUGACGAAAAAGCCCCAAUACACGUGCCAAAACGGCGCCGUUCGUGUUGCAGAUUAGCCCCAAUUUUAUCCACGGCUGAUCUGUGUCAAAGCAACGGCAAAAUUU
Molecule: non-coding RNA, 140 nt
Organism: Glycine max (soybean)
Lineage: Eukaryota; Viridiplantae; Streptophyta; Magnoliopsida; Fabales; Fabaceae
Source: Rfam